GUAGGUGGCAAGCGUUGUCCGGAAUUAUUGGGCGUAAAGCGCGCGCAGGCGGUUCUUUAAGUCUGAUGUGAAAGCCCACGGCUCAACCGUGGAGGGUCAUUGGAAACUGGAGAACUUGAGUACAGAAGAGGAAAGCGGAAUUCCACGUGUAGCGGUGGAAUGCGUAGAGAUGUGGAGGAACACCAGUGGCGAAGGCGGCUUUCUGGUCUGUAACUGACGCUGAGGCGCGAAAGCGUGGGGAGCAAACAGGGAUUAGAUACCCUGGUAGUCCACGCCGUAAACGAUGAGUGCUAAGUGUUAGGGGGUUUCCGCCCCCUUAGUGCUGCAGCUAACGCAUUAAGCACUCCGCCUGGGGAUACGGCCGCAAGGCUG
This 372-nucleotide ribosomal RNA is filed under the name uncultured organism. RNAcentral describes it as "partial 16S ribosomal RNA". It matches the Rfam family "Bacterial small subunit ribosomal RNA", at positions 527 to 896 of the family's 1533-position model. The record is from RNAcentral.